ACGGGGUUAUGCAGGGUCUGUUGUGUUGGUUGGAAUAAAGAGGCAUUUCUGUUUCAACAAGUUCAGUUGGGAAGCAGUUUCAAUUGCAUUUAGUAUUAAGUUGUAAUCUGGAGUUACUUCAAAACUUGUUGAUAAACUCAAUCAAUGUUUAAAUGGUUCCAGCAGACACAGUUGUUAUUUUCAAAUGCACACAAUAGCAUCGGGUCAGUUAAAGUCUUGUUUCAGGUGUUCAAAGUAGAAUUGUUUGUAUUUUUAAUCUCACAAAGUGUUACGCUGUAUUAAAUGUUUUUACUUCUGGUUUGCAUGUGGAUUUUUCCACACACUCACAGUAUUUUACUUGAAUCUUAAAGUCUAUGAACCGUAAGACUUAUUCUGGAGAUGUGGUCCUUGUUGAAAAAUGAAGUUGGAAUGCAGUUGAUCUUCUUUGUAACAUGUAGAGCUGCAGGAUGUAACGGUGAGGAGUCUUCUUCUGGAUGAAGAUGCGUACAGUGCUUGAAUGGGUUGCAAGCGAAGGCUCGAUAGUUACUUCAUGAGAUGCAGGAAUCGCUGAUGCUGUGCGUUGGUUGACUCCAUUCAGAGCCAUCUUCAUGCUGCAGAUGUAAAACGGAAAGCCACUCGUCCCUUCCAUCGGGACUUUAACUCCUCUUCGGAAGUUUAAAAAAAGAAACGACGCACCCACGCGUUGCUGUUACACGACCCACAAAGACAACAGCAUGAGGAAACAAAGUAAAGAAUAUUGUGAAUGACCGAACCGAAAACAAACCAGCCCCCUCUCUCGCCUGUCAUUGGCUGCGCGGUCAUUCUGAACCGAGGAGCCAUCUGGUGAUUGGACGACCUGAGACACUUCUAACCAAUAGGGAAUCAGCUUUGUCAUUUUACCGUAAAAUCAAGAAAACGGGCGCAUUUUACUGCUAAUAAUAAUAAUACAUGUGAUGAUAUAUGAAAACAGAAGAUUGAUUUAUGUAUUUAAAAAAGCACACAGAUAAUAGCUGUAUUAAUCAUGUGAAAAACGGAUAAGUUACCAGCUGAUCUGUCAGUUAAUAAAAUGACAAGGAAAUGUUGGUUCAUUUAU
Polyodon spathula (Mississippi paddlefish) is the source of this 1072-nucleotide long non-coding RNA. RefSeq lists it as uncharacterized. Lineage: Eukaryota; Metazoa; Chordata; Actinopteri; Acipenseriformes; Polyodontidae. The record is from RefSeq and is a predicted model, not a curated record. The transcript is spliced from 3 exons.